GGUUGUCUCAACUCGCCGGGUCAGAAGUAUUUUCUCAUCUUCCCAAGUUUUCUCUUUGGAGGCAAAGUUGGUCUUCAAAUUCUCCGUCUCAGAAAGGCUUAUUUGCAGUUUGGAGGUGGAAGACUUGAUUUCUGAUUCCUGGCUCGCUAGCCGGGUCUUUGCGUCAGUCAGUUGAGAGUUUAGUUCAGACAAUGCAUUAUGUGAAACAUUCAUAUAAAGUCAAGACUUGGUUUUAAAUUCCAGUAUCCAAAUUCAAGAUUCAAGUCCCAAGUACUUUACUAAUAAACCACUUGGCACUUGGGGGCUAAUGUAUGCCAAAUCAAAAUUUUACAACUCUAACAACAUUUUGAAGUCCCAAGUCCUUUACAAAGUAAUAGCACUUGGCACUUGGGGGCUAAUGUACGCAGUUCAGCAAGUUUAUCAAGGAUAAACCAGAAUGUUAAGUAUUUUGCAGAUGGUUUUGAAAUUCUGAAGUACCGAUUCAUUAAUGAUCAAAAUAAACUGGUACUUGGGGACUACGGGUGAAGUCUUGUUCUAUCAAUAUUAGGCAAAGAUUCAGAGGUAAAGGUCUCGGCCUAUAUUUUAAGUCUAUAGGUUAUUCCGUUCCUCUCAUAAUCUACAGACUUGGGGGCUGAAGGAAUAUUGGUAACCCGGAAACAACGUACCUCAUAUUUCAACUGAAGCUGCUUGACCAUCUCGAUCUUAGACUCACGACUGGAAUGUACAUGACUGAGAUAGCCGGAUAAGAUAUCACUAGCAUUAAGACGGUCGUAGUUGGCAACAUCAAAGCGAACCUUUUG
This 800-nucleotide long non-coding RNA is filed under the name Triticum aestivum (bread wheat). RNAcentral describes it as "long non-coding RNA (TAES_LNC005271)". Lineage: Eukaryota; Viridiplantae; Streptophyta; Magnoliopsida; Poales; Poaceae. The record is from RNAcentral.